CCGUAGCAAUACGGCAGCGGCAGACGGGAGAGUAACACGUGGGAACGUGCCCUUCAGUUCGGAACAACCCAGGGAAACUUGGGCUAAUACCGGAUACGCCCUUACGGGGAAAGAUUUAUCGCUGAAGGAUCGGCCCGCGUCUGAUUAGCUAGUUGGUGGGGUAAAGGCCCACCAAGGGAAAAGAUCUGUAGCUGGUCUGAGAGGACGACCAGCCACACUGUUUCUCAGACACGGGAAAGACUCCUACNGGAGGUCGAAGAG
RNAcentral lists this unclassified non-coding RNA (261 nucleotides) under uncultured bacterium. RNAcentral's name for it is "partial contains 16S ribosomal RNA and 16S-23S ribosomal RNA intergenic spacer region". It matches the Rfam family "Bacterial small subunit ribosomal RNA", at positions 74 to 348 of the family's 1533-position model. The record is from RNAcentral.